GACCUAAAAAUAUCGUUCGCCCUUUUUCGUCGAUCUAUUUAUUCGGCUCUUCGAUUUGUUCAGUUUUCUAAUUUUCCUCGUCGCAGAGUCGAGUUGCGACGGAACGCCCUGUAUACAACGCACUGCGGUAUUACCUUCAUCGUGACACCUGGUAAAUGGUUAAUUCAUUUAAAGCUUGGCAAAUGAGGCUUGCCAAGGUAUAAAAUUGGAGUUCCACAGUGCUACCUGGAAGGAGGGUACAUUGGUUCGGUACGGUGCGACGCGACAUCGCCUGACGUCCGUUUCCGUAAAAGCCAUGAAUUCCAAUCGUACGACCGUCGAUUCGUCGAAUUCCUUGCGCAAUGUUCGGUUCUUUUCGCGACCCUCGGCGUAACAACCAAACCGGCGACAACCCGAUAUCAAUCAAACCAUCCGCGAAAAUUCAAGGGUGCGGACAAUUUUCCGUGUUACGCGUCGUGUUCGUUUGUCGUUUGUUGUGUUUUUCUUGUGUCGGGAAUCGGUAAUUUCGGGAUUGUAUUCCAGUGAUUUCCCUCGAACGUCGCGAUAGCCUGCCGCACCGAUUCGGAACGAUAUAAUAUAC
Molecule: unclassified non-coding RNA, 580 nt
Filed under: Athalia rosae (coleseed sawfly)
Lineage: Eukaryota; Metazoa; Arthropoda; Insecta; Hymenoptera; Athaliidae
Description: misc RNA ENSAEAG00005011727.1
Source: RNAcentral